CGGUGAACUGGGGCACGGCUGGCGCGUCCAGCUGGCUGAUGCCGCUGACCUGGACCUGGCCAAAGUUGGGGAUGUAAAUUGGAGCGCCCUCUGCAUCCUUCAGAGAGUUUGCCAGCUCCUUGGCUGCUGCUGUGUCAUCGUUGGGGUAGGUGAUCUGCAACGGGAGAUGCAUGCAUGCCAACAUCAGCAAUCGCACGUCAUUUGUUUGCUUGAACUGAAGGCAUCUUUGGCUGGCGCUUGCUUCACACAACUGCAUGCAUAAGCACAAUAGAUGCACAACAGAAUGACACGUGAACAUGGACGUGCUGAAUACAUCAGUUAUGAAAAUGAGUUCCAUCUAGUGCCUUUCUGGCCGGUGUUCUGCAGCAAUUCAAAGUCCCUGCUGACAUUGAGCCAGGCAAUAUUCACGCCUCCAAAUUGCCUCAGCAAUCUGUAGGAUGCUGGGUUGGAAGAGGUUCUUGACUUCAGACACAUGGAAAGACUCAGAUGCAGACCCUACAGAAUCCUUAAGACUCUGAUAUCAACCCCUGGAUUGUAUAUUCACCUGGGUGUUGACGGUGACGGUGGAUGCUGAGGUGACUCCGACGAUGCUGACCUGGCUCUCCGCCACGUUGGCGCCCUGAGCGAUGCCGCUGAUGUA
Molecule: long non-coding RNA, 640 nt
Filed under: Coccomyxa subellipsoidea
Lineage: Eukaryota; Viridiplantae; Chlorophyta; Trebouxiophyceae; Coccomyxaceae
Description: long non-coding RNA (CSUB_LNC000019)
Source: RNAcentral